AUGUAUCAUAACAACUUUUAUUUUAAUUUUUUAGGGUCGUGGUAUUCCUGGACCUCCUGGUCCUCCAGGGGGGGCAGGACUUCCGGGAGAGCUUGGCCGUGUUGGACCAAUUGUGAGUACUGCACACAGCACAUUGAUAGUAGACAUUUGCUGAUUAGGGUAGGAAAAUUGUCCUGUGUGUUUUCCUCUGCAAAUCCAAAAAAUGGCAGAUGAAUUGCAUUCUCGUUUAUAAUAUUGAUGGGAGCCAGGGAUAAUAGUGCUACCUCAUUUUUGUAAAGUGAUUUUAUCUUUUUCCCCAAAAUUCUUCAGCUAAACUUUUCUUCCCAACUUCUAGAAAUAUUGACCAAAUUGAGGAGUGUCACCUUCAUUUUACAGACUUUCAGCCAGGAUUGGGGUCCAGUGUCUUUUGUAUUAGACUCUUUGCAUGAAAUGAAGUGAAUAGUCUAAAAUUAUUACCAUGCACGUUUAUGCUAGAAUCAUAAAAUUAUAAUUGAACCCACAGAACUUAAUUUUAGUCAAUAAAAUGCUGAACUUCAUGGAAGAAAUUGCUAUAGUAAGAGCUUGGUGUUAAUAUUCUGUAAUUACUCCAAAAAAUGUUGAUGUCAUCAUGUUAUCUAAAGGAUAGAUAAUAAUAAAUUCAUUGAGAGUCAGAGCCAGUAUUAUAUACCUUACUUUGCUUCUCUGUUGAUGCUUCUGUUUGACAAGUUUAUUUGCUGAACAAAUGAAUGAAUAAAUAUGAAAUGAUUGUAAAAUUGAUUGUAAGAUGCUUUUGACUUCUUCUGAGAGAAAGUUAAGAAGGAAGACAUACCAGGAGGAAUCUCUGGAUAUAUGGCUGAUUGGAAUAUAUUUUCACCUGAGUGGCUCAUUUGAACUUAGCCAUCUCUGAUCUUCUGUGCCACUUGCAAGAGAGUACAGUGACUGAGUAAUAGUGUCACCAUGAAGAGCCCAAGGAUGUCUGGCGCUGCAGAGAUUGCCUUCCCUUUCUUGGCUGCAUGCUGGUGCCAGUGCUCCUUGCCAGAUGUUAGCUGGACUGCAGCAGACCAGACUUUUUUCCCCCAAGUCUCCCUCUGCCUUGUUUUAUUACUUUGGUGAUGAGACUGAAACUCCUUUAUUCUUCUGGUUUUGAGGAGUUAAUUGGAUUUUGGUGGCAGGUUCAUGCAGGCUGAGCUCUGUAGGCUUUCUCGGAAGGUCAUGCCUCACCAGUUUUAUGUGCUGUGUUUUGACACGUGUAUAACCCCUGUGUCACAAUUCUCAAAUAACUUAGGGCGACCCUGGGAGAAGAGGACCACCUGGCCCCCCUGGCCCCCCGGGACCCAGCGUAAGUUAUUUCGAGCUUGAAUUUCUCUGCAUCUGAGAAUUGGGGUUAAAGAAACCUAAGUACCCAAAAUGGAAAUACCUUUAAAGUAAGUCAUUGUCCUAAAAUUCCAAAAUGGCUACUUUUUUUUUUUUUUCCACUCAUCAGAGCAAUGGUCUUUUUAGGCCUGAAAGUAGAGGAAUCACAAUGAUUUAAAAGAUGGUUCACACAGAAUGUUUUACUCUUUAUAUUUGCAGUCUUUUGAGGCUUGUGAUUUCUCAAAACUCAAAACCUGGAUAUAUAAAAGGGAAUUUUUUCAGAGGAACUUGUUUUUACAAAGGAUUUACAUAGUAAGCAGUUUUAAAAAUGAGGUUAAUUAGGAGAUAAAACAUAUUUUAAAUUUGUGAUUCAGAGUAUUUUCUAUUCUGCCUCUCAUUUUGUUUUCCUUCAAAAUCUCUGAAAAAUAUUAAUCUACUGCAAUUUAGGGUUCUCUAAAUGAAAUAGCCCCUAGGAAUUCCCAUCAUGGCUCAGAGGUAAUGAACCCGACUAGGAUCCAUAAGGAUGUGGGUUUGAUCUCUGGCCUCACUCAGUGGGUUAAGGAUCCGGCAUUGCCGGGAGCUGUGGUUGCUGUAAGCUGUGUUGUAGGUUGCAGAUGCGGCUUGGAUCCCUUGUUGCUAUGGUGUAGGCCAGCAGCUACAGCUCUGAUUUGACCUGUAGCUUAGAAACUUCCA
RNAcentral lists this long non-coding RNA (2025 nucleotides) under Sus scrofa (pig). RNAcentral describes it as "lncRNA (ENSSSCG00060060612.1)". The record is from RNAcentral. Lineage: Eukaryota; Metazoa; Chordata; Mammalia; Artiodactyla; Suidae.